Molecule: long non-coding RNA, 824 nt
Filed under: Echeneis naucrates (live sharksucker)
Lineage: Eukaryota; Metazoa; Chordata; Actinopteri; Carangiformes; Echeneidae
Description: lncRNA (ENSENLG00000005788.1)
Source: RNAcentral
GUCCGCUUCACUCACAUCGUUUGUGUUUCUGGUGUUGCUCCAUAAAACAUAAAACAAGCCUUCUGGGAGGCCGAGGCUUACAGGGAGCAUGCUUUCAAAUCUCAACUCCGGCCAUUCACAGCAAGCUAAAUUUAAUCUGGUCCAAGUGAAGGGAACGUGGAUCAGACAACCUGAGCAGAGCCAGCUGGCAGAAGGAAAGUUAUCAGAUGCUGAAAUCAGUCAGAACAAGUCAGAAAAUGGACUUUUGUGGACGGUGGUCAGCCCCAUCAUAUUCAGCUACAGAGUCAUCCAGUGCAGAAACAUAUUGGAUCCAGGAAAUGAUACGCUGCUCUGGGGUCAUUUAGGAGAUGAGGAGCUAAAAGGUACUUUAAGUAACUCUAAACCUCUGAGACGAUUUGUUGUCAUCGAUGAAACUGUCAAUCAUCUGUAUGGCUCUCAGGUUGCUCAGUAUUUUAAGGCCAGAAAAACUGUGUGCAAGAUCCUCCCUCUUCCCACCACAGAGGAGAACAAAGGUUUGGAGUUAGUGACCAGGAUCCUGGAGCAGGUCCAUGAGUUUGGUAUUGACAGGCGCUCUGAGCCAAUCAUAGCCAUCGGCGGUGGGGUUUGUCUGGAUGUGGUGGGUUUGGCGGCCUCUCUCUACCGCCGGAGGACGCCGUACAUCCGGGUGCCCACCACUUUGCUCUCUUAUGUGGAUGCCAGCGUGGGGGCAAAAACUGGGGUCAACUUUGCUGGCGGGAAAAACAAGCUGGGGAGUUACGUCCCACCGGUGGCGACUUUCUUAGAUCGCUCGUUCUUCCAAACCCUUCCACCACGUCAGAUCUCCA